AAAAAAAACAGAAAAAAUAACAAGAAA
RNAcentral lists this small RNA (27 nucleotides) under Arabidopsis thaliana (thale cress). RNAcentral's name for it is "ATSL179710". Lineage: Eukaryota; Viridiplantae; Streptophyta; Magnoliopsida; Brassicales; Brassicaceae. The record is from RNAcentral.